AAAAAGUUGAAGUUGAUUGAACCGAAGAGAUCGGUGAGUUCCGGUGAUGGAGACGAUGUUAGGGCUUCUAAGAGGAUGAAAAUGGCUGACGGAGGUUUUGAUAAGGCGCCGGAGAAGGAACCGAUGACUGAUGCGGAAGUUGAGUUUGUGAAUUUGUUGGAAGAUGAGCUUGAGAAAUUCAAUUCGUUCUUCGUUGAGAAAGAAGAAGAGUAUAUCAUUCGAUUAAAGGAGUUGCAAGACAGAGUGGCAAAGGCGAAAGAUCGUAAUGAUGAGAUUAUAAAGAUUCGCAGGGAGAUAGUAGACUUCCACGGGGAGAUGGUUUUGCUGGAAAAUUACAGUGCCCUCAACUAUACUGGGCUCGUGAAGAUACUCAAGAAAUAUGACAAAAGGACUGGUGCUCUUCUGCGCUUGCCCUUCAUUCAGAGGGUCUUGCAGCAGCCUUUCUUCACCACUGAUUUGCUAUACAAGCUUGUAAAGGAAUGUGAGAGUUUGAUCGACCGUCUAUUCCCCAUCAUUGACACCUCGUGUAUUGCCUCGGAAGCUGACGGAAAUGAAACUUCAACUAGCUGCACCAACAAAAACGAGGGUCUACUUAGAGCCCCAAAGGAGCUGACAGAGAUAGAGUAUAUCGAAAGCUUAUACAUGAAGAGCACCAUAUCUGCUUUACGUGCUUUAAAAGAGAUUCGGAGCAAGAGCUCAACGGUUAGUGCUUUCUCAUUGCCUCCAUU
This 728-nucleotide unclassified non-coding RNA is filed under the name Hevea brasiliensis (rubber tree). The record is from RNAcentral. Lineage: Eukaryota; Viridiplantae; Streptophyta; Magnoliopsida; Malpighiales; Euphorbiaceae.